ANGGCNAAUGAACAGGGCAUGAGCUCACGCAUUGAAAUUGUUGGCUUAUGGCCUUGAAUUGUAGUUUCAAGUGGCUCCACCAACGGAGGUGCAGAUGUAAGCCUCUUGGAAAAGAGCAUCAGCGAGGGUGAGAGUCCCGUUCGACAUUUGCAGUCCCCCGAGUACGGUGUGCCUACUCAGAGUCACGUUCCUCGGGAUUGGAGCGCAAAGUGGGUGGUAAAUUUCAUCCAAAGCUAAAUACAGGUUCGAGACCGAUAGCAAACAAGUACCAUGAGGGAAAGAUGAAAAGGACUUUGGAAAGAGAGUUAAAAGUGCCUGAAAUUGCAGAAAGGGAAGCGAAUGGAACCAGUGUUUCUUGGUGAGAUUGUUGCGUGCUAAAGUGAGUGCGCGCUGCAGCAACGCAAGUGCUGUGGUGUGCGCCAAACUGGAUGCGCGUGGUGCCUCUUGCCUGGAGUGUCAACGUCGGUUUGGAGUUGGGGAAACCUCGAGACACAUGGUAUUUUGCUCACGUGCGAUUGAAGGUGUCUUCGUGGAACUCAUCUCUGAACUGAAUCUUGUGUGUCUUGGUGCAUUGCCUCAGGGUCCACCCUCUACCCACCCUCUGUGUCUUGCUCUGUGCAGCGGGCUGGUGUGAUCCCUGUCUCAACCCUUGACAUGUGGAUGGUGACAAAAUGGUUUCAGUCGACCCGUCUUGA
This 695-nucleotide ribosomal RNA is filed under the name Gyrodinium cf. britannicum AR-2015. RNAcentral describes it as "LSU rRNA". It matches the Rfam family "Eukaryotic large subunit ribosomal RNA", at positions 86 to 657 of the family's 3401-position model. Lineage: Eukaryota; Dinophyceae; Gymnodiniales; Gymnodiniaceae. The record is from RNAcentral.